Molecule: ribosomal RNA, 346 nt
Filed under: uncultured bacterium
Lineage: Bacteria
Description: partial 16S ribosomal RNA
Rfam family: Bacterial small subunit ribosomal RNA
Source: RNAcentral
CCUACGGGAGGCAGCAGUGAGGAAUAUUGGUCAAUGGACGAGAGUCUGAACCAGCCAAGUAGCGUGAAGGAUGACUGCCCUAUGGGUUGUAAACUUCUUUUAUAAAGGAAUAAAACGAGGCACGUGUGCCUUUUUGCAUGUACUUUAUGAAUAAGGAUCGGCUAACUCCGUGCCAGCAGCCGCGGUAAUACGGAGGAUCCGAGCGUUAUCCGGAUUGAUUGGGUUUAAAGGGAGCGUAGAGGGGUUGUUAAGUCAGUGGUGACAGUUUGCGGCUCAACCGUAAAAUUGCUAGUGAUACGGGCAUUCUUGAUUACAGUUGCGUUAGGCGGCUUUCGUGGUGUAGCUG